GUACAAGUUACUGUCCAGAAAUUUUCUGUUGUGAUUAUAGUGGUGACAAAGUUUGGUAAUCUUUGGAUGGGUGCCUGAGACCUGAGAAAAACCUUUGAAGAAUUAAACCCUCAGUUUUUAUGCCUCUAGCAGUUUUCAGUGAUGUGUAUUUGGCAUAAUGCCUAAAAGAUUGGCUUUAAGAAAAAUCUACUAUGGGGUGAAGGAUGCUGGCUUUAUUGUGAGAGUGAAGAGAAAAAAAAAAAUGGUGAGAUGCUGCAGUGAGAACCACGUUCACACUCUGGAGCCUGGCUUGCUUGUCUCAGCCUUUCCCAGAAUUCAGGUGAAUGAGAAGGUGCGGAAUACUGCAGUUAAAAUAAGAAAAGACAAGAAAAAGACCCCCCCCCCCAACAAAAGCUUGUCUCUUGAGCUCCCUUGGAGGAGGGCAGCAAGGGCUCACAGCCACCCUGUCAUUAAUUCUCUGCAAGUAUCUACAGCCUUUUCCAGACAGCCACAUUUUUCCACUGACAAACAUUUAAUUCUCAGUGACAUUUCUCCAUCAUUAUAAAUAGCAGGGAGUUUUUAAUCAUUUUUUAAGUGCCAACGCUUUUUUCGCCCAGUGGGGCGAUAGCGGUUUGAGCAAAGCCAUUUGGAUCCCAAAACAGAUCGAUUGGCAAGUCUUAUGCUUGGCUCUUCGAAGAGAACUGCUGAUUUUAGCACGUUAGGAAGUUUCACAAGGGUGUACAUUUUCAUAUUUUUCUCCUGUCGGUAGUUUCCAUGGCACCAACAUUUUUGUGUCGCAGUCGACAUUCCAGGGCAGCCCCGAUUACCUCUAAGGGUGUGAUACAUUUAGAAAAAAUUACCAAAAGGAAAUUAG
RNAcentral lists this long non-coding RNA (853 nucleotides) under Mustela putorius furo (domestic ferret). RNAcentral's name for it is "lncRNA (ENSMPUG00000030232.1)". Lineage: Eukaryota; Metazoa; Chordata; Mammalia; Carnivora; Mustelidae. The record is from RNAcentral.